RNAcentral lists this long non-coding RNA (344 nucleotides) under Vigna radiata. Its description in RNAcentral is "long non-coding RNA (VRAD_LNC005603)". Lineage: Eukaryota; Viridiplantae; Streptophyta; Magnoliopsida; Fabales; Fabaceae. The record is from RNAcentral.
UGGGUAUAAGUAGACGUCUAUAUGGACGUCGGUGGAUAUCGUUAACCGACGUUUAUAUUGACGUCGGUUAAGAAGAUUUCCGACGUCCCAUGGAUGUCAUCCUUAUAGACGUCUGUUGUGUAAGUGACGUUAAAAGCCCAAAUUAACCGACGUUAAACAGCGUUUCUGCACUAAUGAUUGUAUUUUAAAUAAGCAUAUAUUUAGUUUAUAAUUAAUUUCCUAAAUAUAUCAUUUGUUACAUAAUCAGAUUUUUAGGACAAUUAUGCUUUUUUUUGGUUCCCCGUCAUCUAUUUUUCUUUUCUUUUUCUCACUGUCAGACGGGUACCAAGAGUUCUUUCCAUCCG